UACGGGGGGGGCAAGCGUUGUUCGGAAUUACUGGGCGUAAAGGGCUCGUAGGCGGCCAACUAAGUCAGUGGUGAAAUCCCCGUGCUUAACAUGGGAACUGCCGUUGAUACUAUCUGUCUUGAAUACCGUGGAGAUGAGCGGAAUAUGUCAUGUAGCGGUGAAAUGCUUAGAUAUGACAUAGAACACCAAUUGCGAAGGCAGCUCGUUACACGAAUAUUGACUCUGAGGCUCGAAAGCGUGGGGAUCAAACAGG
Molecule: ribosomal RNA, 253 nt
Filed under: uncultured bacterium
Lineage: Bacteria
Description: partial 16S ribosomal RNA
Rfam family: Bacterial small subunit ribosomal RNA
Source: RNAcentral